This 498-nucleotide ribosomal RNA is filed under the name uncultured bacterium. RNAcentral's name for it is "partial 16S ribosomal RNA". It matches the Rfam family "Bacterial small subunit ribosomal RNA", at positions 28 to 507 of the family's 1533-position model. The record is from RNAcentral.
GACGAACGCUGGCGGCGUGCCUAAUACAUGCAAGUCGAGCGGACGAAUCGAAAGCUUGCUUUUGAUUCGUUAGCGGCGGACGGGUGAGUAACACGUGGGCAACCUGCCCUGUAGACGGGGAUAACACCGAGAAAUCGGUGCUAAUACCGGAUAACACGAAAUGUCGCAUGACGUCUCGUUGAAAGACGGCGCAAGCUGUCGCUACAGGAUGGGCCCGCGGCGCAUUAGCUAGUUGGUAAGGUAACGGCUCACCAAGGCGACGAUGCGUAGCCGACCUGAGAGGGUGAUCGGCCACACUGGGACUGAGACACGGCCCAGACUCCUACGGGAGGCAGCAGUAAGGAAUCUUCCGCAAUGGACGAAAGUCUGACGGAGCAACGCCGCGUGAGCGAAGAAGGCCUUCGGGUCGUAAAGCUCUGUUGUUAGGGAAGAACAAGUAACGCAGUAACUGGCGUUACCGUGACGGUACCUAACGAGAAAGCCACGGCUAACUACGUG